RNAcentral lists this ribosomal RNA (445 nucleotides) under uncultured bacterium. Its description in RNAcentral is "bacterial SSU rRNA". It matches the Rfam family "Bacterial small subunit ribosomal RNA", at positions 354 to 796 of the family's 1533-position model. The record is from RNAcentral.
GUAAGGAAUAUUGGACAAUGGACGCAAGUCUGAUCCAGCCAUGCCGCGUGAAGGAUUAAGGUCCUCUGGAUUGUAAACUUCUUUUAUAAGGGACGAAAAAAGGCUUUUCUAAGUCGUCUGACGGUACCUUAUGAAUAAGCACCGGCUAACUCCGUGCCAGCAGCCGCGGUAAUACGGAGGGUGCAAGCGUUAUCCGGAUUCACUGGGUUUAAAGGGUGCGUAGGCGGGCAGUUAAGUCAGUGGUGAAAUCCUAGAGCUUAACUCUAGAACUGCCAUUGAUACUAUCUUUCUUGAAUAUUGUGGAGGUAAGCGGAAUAUGUCAUGUAGCGGUGAAAUGCUUAGAUAUGACAUAGAACACCUAUUGCGAAGGCAGCUUACUACGCAUAUAUUGACGCUGAGGCACGAAAGCGUGGGGAUCAAACAGGAUUAGAAACCCUGGUAGUCC